RNAcentral lists this ribosomal RNA (464 nucleotides) under uncultured bacterium. RNAcentral's name for it is "partial 16S ribosomal RNA". It matches the Rfam family "Bacterial small subunit ribosomal RNA", at positions 28 to 507 of the family's 1533-position model. The record is from RNAcentral.
GACGAACGCUGGCGGCGUGCUUAACACAUGCAAGUCGUACGGUAAGGCCCUUUCGGGGGUACACGAGUGGCGAACGGGUGAGUAACACGUGAGUAACCUGCCCACAACUUUGGGAUAACGCUAGGAAACUGGUGCUAAUUCUGGAUAUGUGCUCCUGCUGCAUGGUGGGGGUUGGAAAGCUCCGGCGGUUGUGGAUGGACUCGCGGCCUAUCAGCUUGUUGGUGGGGUAGUGGCCUACCAAGGCGGCGACCGGUAGCCGGCCUGAGAGGGUGACCGGCCACAUUGGGACUGAGAUACGGCCCAGACUCCUACGGGAGGCAGCAGUGGGGAAUAUUGCACAAUGGGCGCAAGCCUGAUGCAGCAACGCCGCGUGCGGGAUGACGGCCUUCGGGGUGUAAACCGCUUUCGCCUGUGACGAAGCGUGAGUGACGGUAAUGGGUAAAGAAGCACCGGCUAACUACGUG